AUGAGCCCCGCCGCGACGGACGCCGGCGGCGACCUCUUCGCCGCCAACCUCAAGGGCGCGCUCCUCGCCGUCGCCUCCUCCGCCUUCGUCGGGGUCAGCUUCAUCGUCAAGAAGAAGGGCCUCCGCCGCGCCGGCGCCGUCGGCUCCCGGGCAGGUGUCGGAGGGUAUGGGUACCUCUGGGAGCCGCUCUGGUGGGUCGGGAUGGUCACCAUGCUUGUUGGGGAGACCGCCAAUUUCGUGGCUUACAUGUUUGCGCCAGCCGUCCUCGUCGCUCCGCUGGGAGCACUCAGCAUCAUUGUCAGUGCUGUUCUGGCCCAUUUCAUGCUGAAUGAGAAGUUGCAGCGGGUGGGCGUCCUGGGCUGUAUUCUCUGCAUUGUUGGGUCGACGGUGAUCAUCCUCCACGCUCCCGAGGAGAGGUCCCCGGACUCGGUGGAGCAGAUUUGGCGCCUGGCAACGCAGCCUACCUUCCUUUGCUAUGCUGCUCUAGCAGUGGCUGUUUCAUUGCUUCUUAUGCUAUAUUGUGCUCCACGGUAUGGGCAGACGAACAUAAUGAUCUAUGUUGGUAUUUGCUCUGUUAUCGGAUCCCUCACGGUAAUGAGCAUCAAGGCCGUGGGCAUUGCGAUUAAACUUACCAUUCAGGGCGUAAACCAGGCUGGGUAUUUCCAGACGUGGAUGUUUGUGACGGUUUCAGCUAUAUGCUUAAUCAUCCAGUUAGUUUACCUGAACAAGGCAUUGGAUACUUUCAAUACAGCGCUGGUUUCUCCCAUCUAUUAUGCCAUGUUCACAACCCUCACUAUUUUAGCAAGUGCCAUAAUGUUCAAGGAUUGGUCUGGGCAGAGCGCAAGCAUUAUUGCCUCCGAGACUUGUGGAUUUCUCACAGUUCUUGCCGGUAUUAUUGUGCUACAUUCCACCAAAGAACCUGAUCAAAAUCUGUCCCCAGACCUUUAUGCAUCUCUCACUGCGCCCCUCCCUCCAAAGAUAUAUUGGCACAUCCAAGGAAACGGUGACGUAGGGAAGCAAAAGGAGGACGAGUCGCUUCCCUGCGACUUCAUCACCGUCGUGCGCCAGGACUACUUCGUCUAG
RNAcentral lists this ribosomal RNA (1083 nucleotides) under Triticum aestivum (bread wheat). RNAcentral describes it as "partial small subunit ribosomal RNA". The record is from RNAcentral. Lineage: Eukaryota; Viridiplantae; Streptophyta; Magnoliopsida; Poales; Poaceae.